UACGUAGGGGGCAAGCGUUGUCCGGAUUUAUUGGGCGUAAAGAGCUCGUAGGCGGUUUGGUAAGUCGGCUGUGAAAUCUCCAGGCUCAACCUGGAGGGGUCAUUCGAUACUGCCAUGACUAGAGUUCGGUAGGGGAGUGUGGAAUUCCUGGUGGAGCGGUGAAAUGCGCAGAGAUCAGGAGGAACACCCGUAGCGAAGGCGGCACUCUGGGCCGAUACUGACGCUGAGGAGCGAAAGCGUGGGGAGCGAACAGG
Molecule: ribosomal RNA, 254 nt
Filed under: uncultured bacterium
Lineage: Bacteria
Description: partial 16S ribosomal RNA
Rfam family: Bacterial small subunit ribosomal RNA
Source: RNAcentral